Long non-coding RNA from Penaeus monodon (black tiger shrimp), 400 nucleotides. RefSeq lists it as uncharacterized. NCBI's taxonomy places the organism in Eukaryota, Metazoa, Arthropoda, Malacostraca, Decapoda, Penaeidae. The transcript has 3 exons. The record is from RefSeq and is a predicted model, not a curated record.
CCUUUCUAAUCUUCGUCUUCUCCCUCUCUUUCCCCGUCUCUUCUCUUCCUAAUCGUAGCCAGGGUCAGCCGGGUCAGGAGAGCGACCUGACCUUCUCCGCGGGUCCUUCAGCUCCCCCCAUCGAGGUCAGGGUCCAGGGCAUCCCCACGAGAAGCUGCUGUCAAACUCUGCCAACAGUGCGGGCAGAGAUUGCGAGGAUUCGAGAGCUAAAUAUAAUGGGGACUUCGUUCACCUGAGAUACUUCUACAACCCUGGGAACUUCGAGGUCAAGAACCGCACGAUGACCUUGUUGAAGCAGAUGCACGACCUAAGGCAAGAGAACGUGAACGGCUUCCUGGGCAUGCUGUGUGACCCCAUCCGACCUGGCUUCGUGUGGGAGUACUGCUCGCGGAGGUCCUGC